This 76-nucleotide transfer RNA is filed under the name Varicospira cancellata. RNAcentral describes it as "tRNA-Lys". The record is from RNAcentral. Lineage: Eukaryota; Metazoa; Mollusca; Gastropoda; Littorinimorpha; Rostellariidae.
UUCUCAGAUGACUGAGGUUAAGUGUCAGACUUUUAAUCUGAAAACGGCAUAUAAACUUUUAAAUGCCUCUGAGAAA